RNAcentral lists this unclassified non-coding RNA (285 nucleotides) under Hevea brasiliensis (rubber tree). The record is from RNAcentral. Lineage: Eukaryota; Viridiplantae; Streptophyta; Magnoliopsida; Malpighiales; Euphorbiaceae.
AAAGGUGUUGCAUAUGGAGACUGUUCUAUUGUUUUGGAUAAAUAUGAAUAUGGCUAUGAUUAUGGUACAAAUAUGAUGUAUGGAAGCUCAUCAACUGAAGCUACUUCUAUUAGUGAUUAUGAAGGUGGGCAAUUGAAUAGACACACUCAAAUCUAUAUCUAUAUGAUCACCCUCCUAUGUUUUCAUAUUUCUCCUCAUCGAAGCGAUCAUUUUCGUAAUCCAUUCAAGAUUCUACUGAAAUGAGCCACACUCCAUAUGCCAAUUUUAGUGAUCCAUCUGAUAUAG